Long non-coding RNA from Carassius auratus (goldfish), 979 nucleotides. RefSeq lists it as uncharacterized. The record is from RefSeq and is a predicted model, not a curated record. The transcript is spliced from 4 exons. NCBI's taxonomy places the organism in Eukaryota, Metazoa, Chordata, Actinopteri, Cypriniformes, Cyprinidae.
AAUUACUGAUGCAAAAAGUUGUACAAAUGAGGAAAUACAUGUUGGCUCAACAUAAUGGUUGUGUCAAAAAAGAAAAAUAUGUUUGGUCAAUGAUUGCAUGAUUUCCAUGAUUGUACUACAAAAUGUUCAUCAAGAGAAAAUAAAUAAUUAUGUUGAGAUAACUUUUAACGUUGCACAAAAAAUAUUAUGUUGGCCGAGCAAGAGAGAACAGCGUCAAUCGUCUGAGCAUGCGCAAAGGAGUUCUACCAGGCAGCGCUGCAGCAGGCUGGAGUCACGACAUUGCAUUGUCAGCAUUCCUGACAUCGCUGGACAAUCACACCCAGGGGUUGCUAAAGAUGUACAGAGCCAAAGCAAGACAGGGAAGGUGAAACAACUUGGAUGAACUUCUGGAACAACUGGAUGCCCAGACCACAGAUCUAACUACUCAUUGAAGGUCUGCUGUUCUUAGUGGUCUUCCCCUGUACUUGAGAGAGCCAGCUUCAAUUUCAAAGACUAUUAAGGAUACUGAGGCACUGGGGCCACACACAAAGGCCAUGACAAUGAAGUGACUGACAGUUCUACCAACUCAGGACCUUAUCCCACAGUGGUCAAUGUGGCUGUAGUAGAGGAAGUUGUCAUGGACAAUCUGGGAGACUUCACAAAUUCCCUCAUGAUGUUUGUUUCGGCACUGGUUGAAUACUUGUGUAAUAUUUUACUUGAGCCUAACAGGCAAAUUCAUAUGUAUUUAAAUAAAUAAAUAAAAUGUUUUUUUUAUCAAAGCCUAGUGUGUAAUUUAUUUGAAAUAAUGAAAAAUAGACUAUUUUGACCAAGAAUAAAUAUUUAAUACAACAUUUUAUUUCAAUUUGAGUCUGCUUGUUGGCCCAACAAGCUAUGUUUAGUCAACAGAAAAUAUUUAAUUGACACAACAUUCUAUUUCAAGUUCAGUCUACAUGCAGGGGUAGUCAGCACAACACAAAAAAGUUGGUUUCCGCAACUUAAA